CCUGGUAGAGUACUGGGAACUUGACCUAACAAGUGCCAAGCACAACACCAGAUUGUGGCUGGUCAAGGUUCCUAAAUAUUUGUCACAGCAGUGUGCUAAAGCCCCUGGAAGAGGUGAAGUUGGGAAAUUGCGGAUUGCCAAGAAUCAAGGAAGGACUGAGGUGUCAUUUACUUUGAAUGAGGAUCUUGCAAAUAUUCAUGAUGUUGGCAGAAAACCAGCUUCAGUCAAUGCUCCUGGAGAACAUCAUUUGUCUUACAAAAUGCUGGAGGACAG
RNAcentral lists this long non-coding RNA (273 nucleotides) under Marmota monax (woodchuck). Lineage: Eukaryota; Metazoa; Chordata; Mammalia; Rodentia; Sciuridae. The record is from RNAcentral.